CAGUAGCCGCGGGAAUACGUAGGGUGCAAGCGUUAAUCGGAAUUACUGGGCGUAAAGCGUGCGCAGGCGGUUAUAUAAGACAGAUGUGAAAUCCCCGGGCUCAACCUGGGAACUGCAUUUUUGACUGUAUAGCUAGAGUACGGCAGAGGGGGAUGGAAUUCCGCGUGUAGCAGUGAAAUGCGUAGAUAUGCGGAGGAACACCGAUGGCGAAGGCAAUCCCCUGGGCCUGUACUGACGCUCAUGCACGAAAGCGUGGGGAGCAAACAGGAUUAGAUACCCCAGUAGUCCCUGUCUCUUAUAC
This 301-nucleotide ribosomal RNA is filed under the name uncultured bacterium. RNAcentral describes it as "partial 16S ribosomal RNA". It matches the Rfam family "Bacterial small subunit ribosomal RNA", at positions 509 to 807 of the family's 1533-position model. The record is from RNAcentral.